GAACAAAGAUGAAAAUGAGGGCAACAAGUUAGAUUUCUUCAUUAUAGAGUGUGAUCUGUUGAACAGCAUAUUAUUCUUGACUUCCAAUCUAAAACCCACAUUUAUUACACACAUGUACCACAUUCCAUCCAAAGAUAAAAAUCUGAUUUAGAGGAACUCUGGUGUGGGAAUCCUGAUCUUAGAUAUACUGCACCUCAGUUCUGCUGUCUAUAAAACUAAGAUGAUAGUUCAUUUAGUUUUGAAAGGGGAUUGUGAUGAGAGCUACGUAUUCUGGUUUAUCUGCAUUACAGCAAACAUGAUCAGUUUUGACAGAAGUCAAUUACUUAUAGUGCAGUUCUAUUCUGAAAGGGGAUAAAAGUACUGCAGUGAUGUUUGUUUACAGUUUUAAAAAAGGAUUGCAAUGAGAGCUACACAUAAAAAAAAUCUAUCCUGACCUAUCCUGCAUAUAACAUAUACUACUAUUGUGAUAAUGUUUCUUAGUUUGUCAUGAUAAAUUUCACAACAGUUUUCAAAGCUGUAUCUCAACUUUUUUUGGGGGGGAACCCAAUAAAGGUUAUGUGAAAGACAAGUGGGUGAAAUAACUGUGUCAUCUACAAAGAUCAAUAAUUCUGUCAGCACACAGAAACUCCUCUUUAUAUUUGAACAGAUCUUUGUAUGAAAGCGUGUUUAAAUUCACAAAGGGAAUUAAGACUUACUAAUCUAAAAGCAAGAGUUUAAUUUAGGCCAGUUUUACUACUUGAAUUGAAAGCCGUUGAAGAGUGAAGUAUCUACAUAUCCACUUCUGAUCCAGGGUGCAUUUCAGGUUAAGGAUGGAGUGACCUUACAUGGCACAUGUUUCAAACUAUAACUACUGUUGUGAGGUCCAGACAUAAUACUGCAUCAUCUAUGACCUUCAAUUUCAGAUGGAAGAAAAAAAAUGGAACUCUCAGACAGUGGAGAGUAACAUUUUUCAAGGCUGACUACUGGAUUCAAUACUAAACAUCUCCGAGUUAUUUUGCAACAACAUUCAGCGUACAAUCUGCCUGCUCUGUGUCACAUUACAGCCUAAGUUUUGAGCAUUACAUGACCACAAGAAAAAAACAAAAAUAAAUACCUUAACCUUAGUUCCCCUCCUAUUCAAAAACAAAGCUUGUUUCUCCUUUGCCCAUUCAAUAUAUUAAUUAGAUAUAAGGACCUUUCAAAGCCAUUUUUUUCCUGGUUGCUACAGACUUAUGGAAACAAGUACAUCCUUCUCAUAAGAAUAAUACAUGUUGCGUAUAUUCCUACUCAGCUAUAGGAACUUAUCAAAGUUACAUUUAUGGGGACAAGAAAAACUUUUUUGUACUAUCAAGCACAGCACCCUGACUUGCUAACUAACAUUUGUAACGAUGUCACUACUUUCCCAUUCUUCCACUUCUUUAUGUAAUAAUGAAACUGGAUCUAUGAACACAUAGAUACUGAUGGCUCUGAAUGAUAUUUUUCCAUCUUCAGCUGCCCCAAAAUAUUGAAAUAACACAAAACAACCCUGUGCUUCUGAAGUGAAUGGUCAAUGAAAUAAUGAGAAUAAGCAUAUAAAGAAAAUGGGAGAACUAUAUAAAAUUUUAGAAAGCGGAGAUAGCUGGCCUGAGACUGGCAUAAGGACAGUGAGUCCACAAAAGCUGGAUUUGAUUAAAAAAUUAUGCUGUUUUUAUUGUGGCAUUCUAUACUAGCCAGGAAUUAACACGAAACUCUGAAAGCUGCACAGUGUUACAACUGCCAUAGACGGACAUCUGUUUGACUUACUCACCCCAAUCUGGGAACAAGCUGCCCAGAAGUAUCCAGUGGCAAGAACAAGAAGAGAAAUUUCCCAAGGCCUGUUCAUGAGAUCACUAACGACACAGUCAGGUCAGGCUACCAGAUCUGGCCAUGUAUAUGGUUUAACCACGACCAGUGCAAGGGUAAGGGAUUCAAGGACACGGGUCAUGAACAUGCCUAACAGAAUUUUCUGACUGGGCAGAGAAAUAAAUCCCAAAGAAAAGCAAAUGAGAUGUAUUCUAUGAGAAGUUAAUGGCAAAAAUAAAUAUAUUUCACACAAUAACAAAAGGUUAGAAAGUUUUAAGACUUAAGUUUACCGUUGCAGUAAGAGAGGCUUUGCAGAGGAACAGAGGCAAAGGCUCACCAAAAAUUAAAAGAAAUACUGCUAUAAUUUUGGAGAAAAGAGGUCAAAAGGCACAGUAAAGCUGUAACAAGCACACACACACACACACAAAAGACAUAAGAAAACCAUGAAACUACUCUCCAGAAGGAAGCAUUCACAUGAAACCACAGUUCUGACAUAAGCGGUUUCUACACUCUAGAAUAGGAAUAAGCUCUGAAAAUUAAUGAAAGGAAAAGUUAAGAAGGAGUUAAGGGAAAGCAUCAUGUUGCUUUUUUCCUGGGAGCUACCAACAAUAGACCACAUAGAAAUGAGAAUGAAGCUCUUUCUGAGCAACCAUACAAGAUGCCAGUAACCAGUGGGGGACUUCACCCACCCAUCGGCGAGGAACACCACACCCUACAACCAAGAGAAUCUUUGUACUCCACAGAUUUAGAGGAAGCUGUUAGAAGAAUGGACUGAAGGGAGAAACUUACCAAAAUUGUACUGAGAUUCUAAAGAUGAAAAAUAAUAUGUUAAAGUGACCACAAAAUCCAUAGUCUACAAAAAGAUUCUAACAAUGAAACUUUCUGGUAGAGCACAUUGAUUUUUAUGCACUGAAAAACCAUUGACUUCUUUUCUUGCCACAUGAACUGAAAUGUAUCUAACACGUGACCAAAAUACCAGCAAUUCAUGUGCCCUGGUAGGUACACAUCCAGGAAAAUAACAAGAAGAUCUGUACUCUGAUCAGCUGAGAGAUAUAUAUCAACUAGAUAUGACAGAAUAUGUAUGCAUUCACCGUAUGAUUACAGAGGUCCAUUUCAGUUCAUGCCAUAUGAUGUGAAGGUAACACAAAACUUACAGAAUAUGUACUGCGAAAUAUAACAACAGAAAUGGAACUGCCAUGAGAAAAUGGGCAACAAGUACUAUUCAGCCAUACUGCAGCCUACUUCCAAUUUUUGUCCAAAGAAUAUCAAGAAUUAGGACAUGAUGAAUUGCUCUGCUGAACUGGAUUUGGCAUACUGUCCAGUUUCUCAUCACCUGUUCUAAGGAAAAAAGAAUAUGAGGAAUGGUAUAAACUAACAGAAUUUAUAUUUUUAUGAAAUAACCUUAGGGAACAGACAGGCAUGACUCUUCGGCUCUAAGAGAUGGAAGAAACCAGAGUUGGAAGUCACUGGAAGGCACCAGACUCAACGCACAACAGCAAUUCAGAGGUAAGAGAGUGUAUAAGACCGAAAUUAAUCUGCAGGGAGGCAGAAGGUAAGGUAAUUUAAAAGACAAAGAUAAGAUAAAGAUUUUCAAGUCAGCAGACACUUGUGAAAUCCACCCUUGAUGCCUGAAGAGCUGACAGAAGCAGUGCCUUUAGAAUGCAGAAGGGACGUGAGAGGCAGACAAGUACAUAUCUUAAAACAGGAAAGGAGGACUGAGGGAAGCAAAAACUAGUCAUCUUAACUUCAGCCUCUGGAAAGAUUUUACAGCAAGUUGUUGAGCAAUCAACUUGUAAACAGCUAGAUGGGAAGCUGAUAAGAAGUAAACUAAUCCGGGUUGUUUAGGAAUGGAAUGCAAGAAAACCCACCUCUUACAGAACGACUGCCUUUGAGUAUACAAGAAACAGCAGGAGUGAUACAAAUUUGACGUUUGUCCUUAGAUAAGCCUAAGAAAACACGACAGAGCUAUGACAGCCAGAAGGGGACACAGCUGCGAAGAACCGCUGUGGAAAGCGUAAUCCCUUAAGGAGAAAACCGAACAAACGGAAAACCUGAAUGAGUUGCUGAUGUGAUUAAGUGCGUUCUGCGCCGCUCUCGGGACAGCAGGGUAACGCGGAGCCCGGGGACAGCUGCGGUGAGCGGCCCGCGCCGGCCGGGCGGACACUGACGCUGUGGGGGCUCGGGCCCGGAGCGGCGGCUGCGGGGCGGCCGUCUGCCUCAGACAGUGUUUUCAGCUCCCAGACUGAGGACUGGUUCUGUGCUCCAUAGAAAUCAAUGGAAAAGUGAAGUCCACUGACAGAUAUCUCAGAAAUGAGCUGGACCCUUCCCUGAAUCGUAUAGGAUGUGAGGGAAUGACUUGAUGCCGUGUCAGGGGAAGUUCAGAUUGGAUAUUAGGAAAAAGUUCUACACUGGAAGAAGGCUUCCCAGAGAGGCAGUCAUGGACCCAAGCCUGUCCAUGUUCAAGAAGCAUUUGGACUAUGCUCUUAAAUAUAUGUGGACAGUGAUCUUCAGUAUUUGGUUUAACUCUUACACUGUCUCAAGAGACAGCAGUUGGACUGCAUGAUCCUCAUGGGUCCCUUCCAACUCAGGAGAUUCUUUGAUUCUGUGAAAACGAAAACCAAGAAUGGUCCAUGGUCCUUGGUCCUUGGACCAUUGUACUUUUCUCUUUUUUGUUUUGUUUUUAAUGUGAUCCUUUUGCUGUCUGUGUGCAAAUCUAUCUGGCUUUAGCCUUUGCGCAUAGUGGCAAGCAAGAAAACUUUUUGAGUUGUGGUCAUCUACCAGCCUAAUUAAACAGAUACCACUAAGUUGAUAUGUAGUACAUUUAAGCAUGAUGACAAUUUGGAGAGCUUCACUUGAUCCUAUAUUUUCUUUCAUGUUUUUGAGGUCUUACAGUUUGAGUAUUCAUGUUUAAACCUGGAACCAAAACAGCUACAGCCUCCCUUCCUGAUCCAUACAAACAGGAGAAGCAUUAAGAGGUCCCCAUUUUGCCUCAAGUUUUGCCUGAGGAAAAGGUAUUUAUAUACCUUUCAUAUAUGCUAAACUCAUUACAAAAUUGGACCACGUCUAUUCAGUAAAAUUAUGAAAUUAGAUUAGAUAGCUCUCUUGGAUUAUAUACAAAGAUCUAUAGACAAUAUAAUAUUUAGAUGUCUUCUUAAAGGACUGUCUUUAAGCUAUUAAAAAAAGUAGAUUAUGUUUUCUUAGCAGGUGUUUUGCUUUCUUUAGGAGAGUCCAGGGAAGCAGUAUUAUUUCUUUCUUCCCUUAAGGGAUGGAACAUAACAAAGGAGUUUCCAGCUUGCAAAUGGAGACAGAUAUUCUGGUUCUUCCUCUUGGCAAAGGGAAAACAAAGCCCCAGGGUUUUCCCCAUGGAAAACAAGUGAAAACAAACACACAAAAAUUUGCUUCCUAUCAGGGCAACAAACCCAAAUACAAUAAUUUCUGGCAUACUAGCCUCAAUACAGCCAAUUUUGUACCUUAGCAGAAAAAUGCAGAUUUUCCAGAUGGGAACAUUCAGGCUAACUAAUUUUUUUCUUAUGCCUGCCAACAAUCACUUGCAAAAUAAAAAUUAUACCUCUUAAACAUUCUUUAAAAAGACAAAGUGAAUCUGAGAAAUUUAGAAAACGGACUUCUUCUCUUUUUUUGUAGAGACAUCAUAUAUUAUUGUAUUCCAAUUUUUAAAUUAAUUUGAUGAUGUUUUUUUAUAAAUGUACUCUUUUUAAGAAGUUCUAAACACUAGCUAAACAAAGAAUAAGAAAUAAUGGUAAAUGCCUCAACUAAAAUAUCAUCCCUUUGCUCUUUGUAUUUCAUCAGUUUGUGAGGUCCCCUGUUCACCAAAAUUCCAGGUAUCACCGCUCCUGUCAGGCCACAUGGAUUCUGAAUUACCACAGGCAAGGAAAGAAAGACAAACUGAAAUAAAUAAAUAAAGACAUUUAGAUAAUUUUUUGAGGUAGAGGAGAGAGA
Long non-coding RNA from Numida meleagris (helmeted guineafowl), 5757 nucleotides. RefSeq lists it as uncharacterized. Lineage: Eukaryota; Metazoa; Chordata; Aves; Galliformes; Numididae. The transcript has 3 exons. The record is from RefSeq and is a predicted model, not a curated record.